GCCGGGAUAGCUCACUUGGUAAAGCAGAGGAC
Molecule: transfer RNA, 32 nt
Filed under: Draba tomentosa
Lineage: Eukaryota; Viridiplantae; Streptophyta; Magnoliopsida; Brassicales; Brassicaceae
Description: partial tRNA-Phe
Source: RNAcentral